ACAGGGAAAUAAAUGUUUCUACUUCAAUGCAUAUCUUGUUCAUAGAUUUGUGGUUUGAGGGAUUAUCCUAGGUGUCAUCCAACUCAUUGGCUUCCUUCCAACUUUUUCGGAUUCGCAAUUGACUCCGACUGAUCCCUUCGGUUUUACAGUAGGCAACAGAAAUCUAAAAUAAGAUUGAUCUCAUUCGUAUCAAAUGUACUGUUUCAUGUCCUGUUUCAUCUGCUGUUGAAGACUUCCAUCAUUGGUUCGACCCGUGGUUAAAUUCAUCAGACUUAUCCGUUUCACCGGUUCGUCAAGGCCCAUGAGAUUGGUCUCGAUAAUGUUGUGUCCUUUCCUCUGUUUCUACGGUUUUUGAAUUCGGCGGAACGGCUUUACAUCUGUAUAGUAAUAUGAGAAAAGAAGGUCAGGUUAUGCAAAGGACUACAAUGACGAGCAUCAAAACAGACUACAGAGGCAAAAGUACAAGAAAGCAAGACAUCGGCGAUCACAACUGACUCAAAAACACACCCUCUCAGCACUAUAACAACGCGUGUGAAUGUUGUCACCAAUUACAUUUUUCCAUCACAGUAUGCUUGGUACCUUGCCAUGGAGGCACCGUUUGACUUCACUGUUAAAGACAUGCCUGUCCUCAGAAAAUGGUGGUGCACAGUACUGCUUGAGAACUUCCACCUGGAUGGGCACGGCAGAAGGUUCCCACACUUCAUGGAGGAGGCCAAACAAAUGGCGGCUGGACUACUUCCACUAGUCUUCAGACUGAAGCGAAAAAGAGAAGUGAAUGACGUUUCCAGUGACAGAAUACAAAUAAUAUAUAUAAUAAUAUAUACAUACA
Long non-coding RNA from Gadus macrocephalus (Pacific cod), 829 nucleotides. RefSeq lists it as uncharacterized. The record is from RefSeq and is a predicted model, not a curated record. The transcript is spliced from 3 exons. Lineage: Eukaryota; Metazoa; Chordata; Actinopteri; Gadiformes; Gadidae.